Molecule: ribosomal RNA, 254 nt
Filed under: uncultured bacterium
Lineage: Bacteria
Description: partial 16S ribosomal RNA
Rfam family: Bacterial small subunit ribosomal RNA
Source: RNAcentral
CACGUAGGGUCCAAGCGUUGUCCGGAUUUAUUGGGCGUAAAGAGCUCGUAGGCGGUUCAGCAAGUCGGGUGUGAAAACUCUGGGCUCAACCCGGAGACGCCACCCGAUACUGCUGUGACUUGAGUCCGGUAGGGGAGUGGGGAAUUCCUGGUGUAGCGGUGAAAUGCGCAGAUAUCAGGAGGAACACCGGUGGCGAAGGCGCCACUCUGGGCCGGUACUGACGCUGAGGAGCGAAAGCGUGGGUAGCAAACAGG